AUACGGAGGGUGCGAGCGUUGUUCGGAAUUAUUGGGCGUAAAGAGCAUGUCGGCGGUCUGUUAAGUCUGGUGUGAAAGCCCGGGGCUCAACCCCGGAAGUGCAUUGGAUACUGGCAGACUUGAGUAUGGGAGAGGAAAGCGGAAUUCCGAGUGUAGGAGUGAAAUCCGUAGAUAUUCGGAGGAACACCAGUGGCGAAGGCGGCUUUCUGGACCAAUACUGACGCUGAGAUGCGAAAGCGUGGGGAGCAAACAGGAUUAGAAACCCGAGUAGUCC
Molecule: ribosomal RNA, 274 nt
Filed under: uncultured bacterium
Lineage: Bacteria
Description: partial 16S ribosomal RNA
Rfam family: Bacterial small subunit ribosomal RNA
Source: RNAcentral